Molecule: long non-coding RNA, 214 nt
Filed under: Gallus gallus (chicken)
Lineage: Eukaryota; Metazoa; Chordata; Aves; Galliformes; Phasianidae
Source: RNAcentral
CCCGCACACCCGUCGGAUACCGGGGAGAUUCGGGACGAGGUUGGGAGGGGACACUUGUCUCCUAGUACACCACGUUGGAAGGGCACCACGGCGUGUCGGGGUACAGCAGGCAGUGCACAGAGCGAAACCUGGAUGGGUCCUCCUCCACGGAGAAGGCUCCCUUCAUGUGGAUGGAGUUGCGCUUGUUUUCAAACAUGCCAUAGCUUAGUGUCAC